ACGAACGCUGGCGGCGUGCUUCACCCCUGCCCGUCGAACGGAAAGGCCCUGCUUUUGUGGGGUGCUCGAGUGGCGAACGGGUGAGUAACACGUGAGUAACCUGCCCUUGACUUUGGGAUAACUUCAGGAAACUGGGGCUAAUACCGGAUAGGAGCUCCUGCUGCAUGGUGGGGGUUGGAAAGUUUCGGCGGUUGGGGAUGGACUCGCGGCUUAUCAGCUUGUUGGUGGGGUAGUGGCUUACCAAGGCUUUGACGGGUAGCCGGCCUGAGAGGGUGACCGGCCACAUUGGGACUGAGAUACGGCCCAGACUCCUACGGGAGGCAGCAGUGGGGAAUAUUGCACAAUGGGCGGAAGCCUGAUGCAGCAACGCCGCGUGCGGGAUGACGGCCUUCGGAUUGUAAACCGCUUUCGCCUGUGACGAAGCGUGAGUGACGGUAAUGGGUAAAGAAGCACCGGCUAACUACGUG
Molecule: ribosomal RNA, 467 nt
Filed under: uncultured bacterium
Lineage: Bacteria
Description: partial 16S ribosomal RNA
Rfam family: Bacterial small subunit ribosomal RNA
Source: RNAcentral